GUUUGCAUUAAAUUCAGACGAAUAUAAUGACAUUUACCUCACUCUGAGAAAUUAUAUAUACUGGAGGGGCUGCUGGGCGGGUGUACACCGCAUUACACGGUGUCCUUCUUGCCUCAGCGCCCUCUGGGGGCCUGUCUGCCAACCCUGCCAGUGGUCCCCAGUGAGCAUCGUUCUCAGUAUUUUCCGCCUGUGCACGUAGCGGGGCUGAGACGCUUGCUGCCCCUGCGGGGGCCUCUUACACCAGAGGUCAGUCUCGAGAGACUGAUUGCCUUAGUAGAUUAUUUAGCAGUGUGUGAACUACUGCCAAAUGUAUCUCAAUGGGUCCUGCACACAGUAGAAAAAGCUACCGUAUUCAGUUCGGCUCUGCACCGCCGAUAUUCAACGGGGUCAUUCCGACUAUAGUCGGCCCCAGGCAGGGUCUGGUUAUGGAACAGGAAGUGAAAACCCUAUUAGAGAAGGAGGCCAUCGAGGUGGUCCCUCCUCAAGACAGGGAGUCCGGGUUCUACAGCCGGUAUUUCACAGUUCCAAAGAAGGAUGGGGGGCUGCGUCCGAUUAUAGACUUGAGGGUCUUAAAUCGUUCAGUUAUGAGACUGAAGUUCAAAAUGCUCACAAUCAAGCAUGUUGUAGGUCAGAUCAGGUCCGAGCACUGGUCUGUCACAAUAUAUUUCAAAGAUGCACACUUCCACAUUUCCAUCUUUCCACAACACAGGAAGUUUCUGAGUUUCGCUUUCGGGGGCGAAGCCUACCAAUAUCGAUUACUUCCCUUCGGCCUUGCACUCUCACCCCGCACGUUCACAAAAUGUGUACACACAGCUCUGGUUCCCUUGCGCAUGCAGGGCAUCCGCAUUCUGAACUAUUGGUUGAUUUUAGCUCAGUUAGAGCAGGUUGCGGCUCGGCAUGGAGAUACAUAUGGGGGAGCUGGGUUUGAGACUGAACGCCAAGAAGAGUGUACUUUCUCCGGCUCAGAGAACCACCUAUCUAGGCGUAGUAUGGGAUUCGACCGUGAAGCAGGAACAAUUGUCCCCUGCUCGUAUAAAGACGAUCCUCAUCUCAGUCGAGAGAGUCAAAGAAGGCCAGUCACUCACUGUCAAACAAUUUAAAAGAUUGUUGGGUCUGAU
This 1118-nucleotide long non-coding RNA is filed under the name Carassius auratus (goldfish). RNAcentral describes it as "lncRNA (ENSCARG00000056317.1)". The record is from RNAcentral. Lineage: Eukaryota; Metazoa; Chordata; Actinopteri; Cypriniformes; Cyprinidae.